This 329-nucleotide unclassified non-coding RNA is filed under the name soil metagenome. RNAcentral's name for it is "partial contains 5.8S ribosomal RNA, internal transcribed spacer 2, and large subunit ribosomal RNA". The stretch from base 1 to 120 matches the Rfam family "5.8S ribosomal RNA", at positions 35 to 154 of the family's 154-position model. The record is from RNAcentral.
GAUGAAGAACGCAGCGAAAUGCGAUAAGUAAUGUGAAAUGCAGAAUUCAGUGAAUCAUCGAAUCUUUGAACGCACAUUGCGCCCCUUGGUAUUCCGAGGGGCAUGCCUGUUCGAGCGUCAUUAUAACCCCUCAAGCUCAGCUUGGUGUUGGGGCCUGCUGCACUGGCAGCCCUUAAAAUCAGUGGCGGCGCCAUCUGGCUCUAAGCGUAGUAAUUCUUCUCGCUAUGGAGUCCUGGUGGAUGCUUGCCAUCAACCCCCAAUUUUUCUAUGGUUGACCUCGGAUCAGGUAGGGAUACCCGCUGAACUUAAGCAUAUCAAUAAGCGGAGGA